RNAcentral lists this ribosomal RNA (497 nucleotides) under uncultured bacterium. RNAcentral describes it as "partial 16S ribosomal RNA". It matches the Rfam family "Bacterial small subunit ribosomal RNA", at positions 28 to 507 of the family's 1533-position model. The record is from RNAcentral.
GAUGAACGCUGGCGGCGUGCCUAAUACAUGCAAGUCGAGCGAACAGACGAGGAGCUUGUUCCUCUGACGUUAGCGGCGGACGGGUGAGUAACAUGUGGAUAAUCUACCUAUAAGACUGGGAUCACUUCGGGAAACCGGAGCUAAUAGCGGAUAACAUGCUGCAGCGCAUGGUUCAAUAGUGAAUGACGGUCGUGCUGUCUCUACUAGAUGGAUCCGCGCUGCAUUAGCUAGUUGGUAAGGUAACGGCUUACCAAGGCAAGGAGGCGUAGCCGACGUGAGGGGGUGAUCGCCGGCACGGGAGCUGAGACACGGUCCAGACUCCUACGGUAGGCAGCAGUAGGGAAUCUUCCGCAAUAGGCGAAAGCCUGACGGAGCAACGCCGCGUGAGUGAAGGAGGUCUUCGGAGCGUAAAGCUCUGUUAUGGGGGAAAAACAAAUGUGUAAGUAGCUAUGCACGUCUUGACGGUACCUAGUAAGAAAGCCACGGCUAACUACGUG